UGCACAGAUGAUGACGCUCAAGGGACUUAAUACUGACACUUGAUGAUUUUUUGUUCUGAUGUGC
This is a small nucleolar RNA of Hemibagrus wyckioides, 64 nucleotides long. RefSeq annotates it as small nucleolar RNA SNORD82. NCBI's taxonomy places the organism in Eukaryota, Metazoa, Chordata, Actinopteri, Siluriformes, Bagridae. The record is from RefSeq and is a predicted model, not a curated record. The transcript has a single exon.